Molecule: ribosomal RNA, 852 nt
Filed under: uncultured bacterium
Lineage: Bacteria
Description: bacterial SSU rRNA
Rfam family: Bacterial small subunit ribosomal RNA
Source: RNAcentral
GAAAUUUUGCAGCUUAACUGUAAAAGUGCCGUUGAUACUGUGAGGCUAGGAUUUGGUUGCUGUGGGUGGAAUGUGUGGUGUAGCGGUGAAAUGCUUAGAGAUCACACAGAAUAUCGAUUGCGAAGGCAGCUCACAAAGCCAAGAUUGACGCUGAGGCACGAAAGUGUGGGGAUCAAACAGGAUUAGAUACCCUGGUAGUCCACACUGUAAACGAUGAUAACUCGCUGUCGGCGAUAUACAGUCGGUGGCCAAGCGAAAGCGAUAAGUUAUCCACCUGGGGAGUACGGCCGCAAGGUUGAAACUCAAAGGAAUUGACGGGGGCCCGCACAAGCGGAGGAACAUGUGGUUUAAUUCGAUGAUACGCGAGGAACCUUACCCGGGCUCGAACGGUGCAGGAAUAUGGUAGAGAUAUCAUAGCUAGCAAUAGUCUGUAUCGAGGUGCUGCAUGGUUGUCGUCAGCUCGUGCCGUGAGGUGUCGGCUUAAGUGCCAUAACGAGCGCAACCCUUGUCAUUAGUUACCAUCAGGUCAAGCUGGGGACUCUAAUGAGACUGCCACCGUAAGGUGAGAGGAAGGGGGGGAUGACGUCAAAUCAGCACGGCCCUUAUGUCCGGGGCGACACACGUGUUACAAUGGGGGGUACAGAGGGCAGCCAUCCGGCGACGGAGCGCCAAUCUCAAAAACCCUUCUCAGUUCGGAUUGGAGUCUGCAACCCGACUCCAUGAAGUUGGAUUCGCUAGUAAUCGCGCAUCAGCCAUGGCGCGGUGAAUACGUUCCCGGGCCUUGUACACACCGCCCGUCAAGCCAUGGAAGCUUGGGGUGCCUGAAGUUCGUGACCGCAAGGAGCGACCUAG